Molecule: long non-coding RNA, 232 nt
Organism: Ostrinia nubilalis (European corn borer)
Lineage: Eukaryota; Metazoa; Arthropoda; Insecta; Lepidoptera; Crambidae
Exons: 3
Source: RefSeq, a predicted model, not a curated record
ACGCAAGCACAUGCGUGGUAGCAAAGGUUGGCUCGUGGGUUGAAAAACUAAGAACUCGACUUGAAAAAAGAAGACAUAGUGCAGAUAAUGGAACAACUGCAGGCCUUAAUAGAGAGAGUCCAAACUGCAGAAGAAACACGGAGUUAAUGAAAGUGAAGAAACGGAAAGCUUUUAUUCUGCGUCGGAGAAUACUGCGAUUUCUCAACGCCCUCUGCAUAGGCCGCUGCGUGCC